Molecule: long non-coding RNA, 244 nt
Filed under: Homo sapiens (human)
Lineage: Eukaryota; Metazoa; Chordata; Mammalia; Primates; Hominidae
Description: HSALNT0176127
Source: RNAcentral
UCUCAAUGUCAGCCUUAGGAAGGGUAACAUCCACAUCUGGGCCCUCUCCUUUGAAUCCUGGCAUGCUGAAUUUGGGCAUUUUCACCUUGGGCAUCUUCAGGUGCCAGUCUGGGCCAUGAACAUCCACAUCUGGGGCAUCAAUGUCCACUUUGGGGCCCUUGAUGUCAACUUCAGGGGCCUUUAGAUCACCUUCCAUCUUAGGCAGAGAAACAUCCACAUCUGGGGCAUCAAUGUCCACUUUGGG